GCGGGAAUGACUCAAUGGUAGAGUGUCACCUUCCCAAGGUGGACGUUGCGGGUUCGAGCCCCGUUUUCCGCU
This 72-nucleotide transfer RNA is filed under the name Clostridium beijerinckii. RNAcentral's name for it is "tRNA-Gly". It matches the Rfam family "tRNA". Rfam says of the family: Transfer RNA (tRNA) molecules are approximately 80 nucleotides in length. The record is from RNAcentral. Lineage: Bacteria; Bacillati; Bacillota; Clostridia; Eubacteriales; Clostridiaceae.